AAGCCUUUGGGGCUGCCAUUGGAGGGAACCCAGUUAUGAGUUAAGAGAAUGUAUGGGAACCCUACUGAUGCUUCCAGAACUGAGUCCAGAUGAGACUGAGGGUGGGGAACAGGGGGAAAAGGUCAGGCUCAGGGAAAAGGACUCGAGGUUGAGGAAGUCUAUGAUCUUACAGCUGUUUCUGGAACUCUCCCAAACCAUACUAACAGGCAGUUCAGAAAAAGGGCAAGAAGAGGACAAAUUCUAUAUACAGAACAUUAUCUGAGGGCUGAGGAUGGGGCCUGGGGAAGGGAGAGGGAAAAAACUUCCAGAGAGCCUGGGAGAGGAGGGCAACCAGCUAAUGGUAGCACCUGGAAAACUCUCUUUCUAGUCUAGAGGUUCCUGUAGGUGAUCCCUAAUCCCUGGAAGGGGGACCUGAGGAGGUGGGUAGAGGACAGUCAAGGCCUUAGCCCCAAAGCCCUCACACAAACAUGGAUGGUGGACUUGGACUUGAUGGAAGACAUGCUGGCUGGGUUACGUUCUCAGAAUACCCUCCAUUCUCCUGUCUAUAGUGGACAUUGGAAAUCUCACUCUCAGAGAGCUUUCCCUUCGGGUCUGGAGAAGGCUUUUAAACAUCCUUUAGAAGAGGGAAAAUAACCCUGAGUGGGGCAGCAAUGAUGGUGAAUUAGGAGUAAAGCUCAGAUGGAACGAGGCCUGCUCCAGAGGCACUGGGCUUGACAAGGGGACAGGACCUAAGGAUGAACUCUGGAGUGCUCUCACUUUUGCCCAAGGUCAGUCUAAUCCAGUCCCUGAUCCCCAGGAGGCCUUAUUUAGGCUGCCUUUGUUCCUGAAUAACCAGUGGGUUAUCCAAGCUAUGUACAUCCCAUGGUUCUGCUAGCGGAGAGCUGCCUUAAGAUGCAUGGGCUCUGAGGGGCAGGGCUGGCAGGCAGUUAGGUAGCUCAUUUCAACCUUAGGUUGCCCUCCAGCUUUCUAAUCCUAGAGCCCCAGUCUUCCAGUCUGGACUUUCACCAGGUGACACACGCAGCGCGUCGGCAUCAGCAGGUGUCAGCCUGAAACUGGACCUAUGCCUGAUUCAUCCAGGAAGCUGAACCCAGGCAGCAGAACAAACACCCCUAAGCAGCUCCUGCCAGGCAUGGUUCCCUCCCUCUUCCCAAAUACAAAUGGAAAACAGCGUGGGAAUCCCCUUUCGGAGGAAGCAAUGGUGCAGCUUUAAGAAAAAGGGAAGGGAG
RNAcentral lists this long non-coding RNA (1226 nucleotides) under Equus asinus (donkey). Its description in RNAcentral is "lncRNA (ENSEASG00005025434.1)". Lineage: Eukaryota; Metazoa; Chordata; Mammalia; Perissodactyla; Equidae. The record is from RNAcentral.